ACUUAAAUAGCUUAUAAUAGAGCAUAAUAUUGAAGAUAUUAAGGAAAUAGAAAAUAUUUUUAAGUA
This 66-nucleotide transfer RNA is filed under the name Brachypterolus vestitus. Its description in RNAcentral is "tRNA-Phe". The record is from RNAcentral. Lineage: Eukaryota; Metazoa; Arthropoda; Insecta; Coleoptera; Kateretidae.